UACGUAGGUGGCAAGCGUUGUCCGGAUUUAUUGGGCGUAAAGCGAGCGCAGGCGGUUUUGUAAGUCUGCUGUGAAAGCCCUCAGCUCAACUGAGGAAGUGCAGUGGAAACUACAAAACUUGAGUACAGAAGAGGAAAGUGGAACUCCAUGUGUAGCGGUGAAAUGCGUAGAUAUAUGGAAGAACACCAGUGGCGAAGGCGGCUUUCUGGUCUGUUACUGACGCUGAGGCUCGAAAGCAUGGGUAGCGAACAGG
Molecule: ribosomal RNA, 253 nt
Filed under: Lactobacillus sp. ZR-92
Lineage: Bacteria; Bacillati; Bacillota; Bacilli; Lactobacillales; Lactobacillaceae
Also listed under: 1 other name
Description: partial 16S ribosomal RNA
Rfam family: Bacterial small subunit ribosomal RNA
Source: RNAcentral